UCCAAUACAUCCUAAUUGUGGGCUUUUUAACUAUGCCCAUUAACAUUGUCAGUGCCCAGAAUUGUUUAAUUUCUGGCACACUGGUUGGGUACCAUCUCUCUGUCCUGGCGAUUCGGGAGUCUUGGUUAUGUACAAGAUACUGCUCCGCAUACAGAUUCGUCUGGGUAACUACCUCCCCAAAAAAAUCAUCCCCCAAAAAUAGCUCCAUACAAUCCAGCGCAUUAUAGCCAGACAGGUCAGCCUGUAUGCCAGGAUUGGCAGUGAACACUGGGAUGUCUGGCGAAAAAUGAUUAG
Non-coding RNA from Pelobates cultripes (western spadefoot toad), 294 nucleotides. Lineage: Eukaryota; Metazoa; Chordata; Amphibia; Anura; Pelobatidae. The record is from the annotation of a GenBank genome assembly.